UGGGGAAUAUUGGACAAUGGGCGCAAGCCUGAUCCAGCCAUACCGCGUGGGUGAAGAAGGCCUUCGGGUUGUAAAGCCCUUUUGUUGGGAAAGAAAAGCAGUCGAUUAAUACUCGGUUGUUCUGACGGUACCCAAAGAAUAAGCACCGGCUAACUUCGUGCCAGCAGCCGCGGUAAUACGAAGGGUGCAAGCGUUACUCGGAAUUACUGGGCGUAAAGCGUGCGUAGGUGGUUGUUUAAGUCUGUUGUGAAAGCCCUGGGCUCAACCUGGGAAUUGCAGUGGAUACUGGGCGACUAGAGUGUGGUAGAGGGUAGUGGAAUUCCCGGUGUAGCAGUGAAAUGCGUAGAGAUCGGGAGGAACAUCCAUGGCGAAGGCAGCUACCUGGACCAACACUGACACUGAGGCACGAAAGCGUGGGGAGCAAACAGGAUUAGAUACCCUGGUAGUCCACGCCCUAAACGAUGCGAACUGGAUGUUGGGUGCAAUUUGGCACGCAGUAUCGAAGCUAACGCGUUAAGUUCGCCGCCUGGGGAGUACGGUCGCAAGACUG
RNAcentral lists this ribosomal RNA (550 nucleotides) under soil bacterium PH-P4-33. Its description in RNAcentral is "bacterial SSU rRNA". It matches the Rfam family "Bacterial small subunit ribosomal RNA", at positions 355 to 896 of the family's 1533-position model. RNAcentral also lists the same sequence under 1 other name. The record is from RNAcentral.